Molecule: ribosomal RNA, 253 nt
Filed under: uncultured prokaryote
Description: partial 16S ribosomal RNA
Rfam family: Bacterial small subunit ribosomal RNA
Source: RNAcentral
GACGAACCGUGCGAACGUUGUUCGGAAUCACUGGGCUUAAAGGGCGCGUAGGCGGGCCUGCAAGUCAGGGGUGAAAGCCCACGGCUCAACCGUGGAAGUGCCUUUGAUACUGCGGGCCUCGAGCGAGGUAGGGGCGUGCGGAACUUCCGGUGGAGCGGUGAAAUGCGUAGAUAUCGGAAGGAACACCGGUGGCGAAAGCGGCGCGCUGGACCUCUUCUGACGCUGAGGCGCGAAAGCCAGGGGAGCAAACGGG